UCAUCAUACAGUAAAAAUUUACUUAUAAUGUGCUUGGGCUGCCUGUGGUUUAAUGUUUGUUUGUUCUUGCAAAGCGUGCGCAUGCUUCGUCCCAGGUGCUCCGUUAUGAGUUUAAGAUUCUAAACCUCUUUCAAAAUAAAGCAUCUAAGCAGCGCGAUGAAAUUCUAGUAUCAAAGAUGUUGGUUAUCACAUGUAUAUAAAAAGGAAUUGUCUCAAUGUACUGGAACAAAGCAGCCCCCACCAUCAACCACGAAGCAAGUACCACAGUCCGAUAUAUAAGCAAUCCAGUUUUUGCUCUGCUCAUUUUCAGAUAAAGAUCUUGGAGUUUUCCAAUAUUGUGCAGGUAUUUAGUCGUCCUAAAUGGCAAUUAUAUAUCAGCCAAAAGCAUGAAAUAUUCAUAUUCUAUUAACUUGCUUUAAUAAGAAAAAUAUAUAUUUGCAUUAAAUAACAAAUGUGUCAAGGCGGUGCGUUGGAAGUGCCAAUCGUAAUGCUGGAAUAAAAAUAUAAAGGGACAAAUUCAAUAAUAUAAUGC
Molecule: long non-coding RNA, 532 nt
Organism: Nematostella vectensis (starlet sea anemone)
Lineage: Eukaryota; Metazoa; Cnidaria; Anthozoa; Actiniaria; Edwardsiidae
Exons: 2
Source: RefSeq, a predicted model, not a curated record